This is a long non-coding RNA of Pseudophryne corroboree (corroboree frog), 273 nucleotides long. RefSeq lists it as uncharacterized. The record is from RefSeq and is a predicted model, not a curated record. Lineage: Eukaryota; Metazoa; Chordata; Amphibia; Anura; Myobatrachidae. The transcript has 3 exons.
AUUCGCCGGAGAUGGCAAGUAAACUAGUGGUUCUGUGCGCAAUACUACACAAUAUCGCGGUAAGGAGUAGCGUAGAGCUUCCUCAGACAGAGGAAUUGCCUGAUGAGGAGCCAGGGGUUGUUCGACACUUCGGUGGGGGGAGUGUUACACGGAGGGGGAGCCAAGUCAGGGCAAGCAUUGUUGCUGAAUAUUUCAGCUGAAUGAUCACACAAACUGUGGACGAGAACAACGGCAGACCUCUCAGCCCCCUUCCCCUUCCCAGUCCCCCUCCCC